AAGGAGUAAGCUGAAAAUCCUUAGAAGAGUAGGCA
This 35-nucleotide non-coding RNA is filed under the name unclassified sequences. RNAcentral's name for it is "DUF805b RNA". It matches the Rfam family "DUF805b RNA". From Rfam's summary of the family: Bacteroidetes, Chlorobi (1 example), Proteobacteria. The record is from RNAcentral.